GUGCUUGCUUCAGCAGCACAUAUGCUAAAAUUGGAAUGAUACAGAGAAGAUUAGCAUGGCCCCUGCACAAAGAUGACACUCACAUUUGUGAAGCGUUCCAUAAUUUU
Molecule: small nuclear RNA, 107 nt
Filed under: Phascolarctos cinereus (koala)
Lineage: Eukaryota; Metazoa; Chordata; Mammalia; Diprotodontia; Phascolarctidae
Source: RNAcentral